This 533-nucleotide ribosomal RNA is filed under the name Sarocladium implicatum. RNAcentral's name for it is "eukaryotic LSU rRNA". The stretch from base 181 to 334 matches the Rfam family "5.8S ribosomal RNA". Lineage: Eukaryota; Fungi; Ascomycota; Sordariomycetes; Hypocreales; Sarocladiaceae. The record is from RNAcentral.
GGAGGGAUCAUUACCAGAGUGCCUUUUGGCUCUCCCACCCACCUGUGAACAUACCUACGUUUCCCUCGGCGGGCUCAGCGCGCGGCGGUACUCCCGCCACGCGUCCGCCGAGGGCACCCAAACUCGAAUUUACUACGUGUAUCUCUGAGGGGCGAAAGCCCGUAAAACAAAAUGAAUCAAAACUUUCAACAACGGAUCUCUUGGCUCUGGCAUCGAUGAAGAACGCAGCGAAAUGCGAUAAGUAAUGUGAAUUGCAGAAUUCAGUGAAUCAUCGAAUCUUUGAACGCACAUUGCGCCCGCCGGCACUCCGGCGGGCAUGCCUGUCCGAGCGUCAUUUCAACCCUCGGGCCCUCCCUUCGCGGGGAUCGGGCCCGGCGUUGGGGACCGGAGGCCGCCUCGGCGGCACCCGCCCCCUAAAUUCAGUGGCGGUCGCGCCGCAGCCUCCCACUGCGUAGUAGCACACCUCGCACCGGAGAGCGGCACGGCCACGCCUCGAAACCCCCCAAUUUAUAACAAGGUUGACCUCGGAUCAG